GCGGUUCGUGCACCAGCCGUGCCGUCACUGGUAAUUCCACCCCCUUCCCUCCACUCUUCAGAGCCCUAACUCACAUCCUCUGAACCAGUUGUCAGACUCUUCUUCCUACUCUUUAAAUUACAACUCUUGCCUGAAGAGCGUGCAUACUGAACACGUUAUAUAUUAUUCUUAGCUGGCCAGGGCCGUUUACACGCCAAGGAUUUUCCUUUUGUCUCCUUAGCACGCAUGCUCACUUUACCCUUCCACCCUUUCUUUGAGGAAAGCGGAGGGAAGUUUCAGUGAGUUUCCCCUACGCGGGCCUAGACACAUUUCGCAGGGAUCAGCACCCAGGCUCUCCUAUGAGGUAUCACGGACACUCGCCAUUCUCACCUGUGGCCACCUGGUGUCCCCACAGCAACUUGUGCCUCAGUGAGGUCCCUGAGGGGGCAAAAAGUGACUUUCUUUCUAAGCAUAUAGGGAGCCAGGAAAUGCCAGCUAGAGUGACCAAGAAAGUAGCUAUUCCUACUGUGGUGAUGACUCAGCCGAUUAGAACAGACACUGAUCUGUAGAAUCCCUUUAAAAACCAGAAGGUUGUUCAGUGACAAUUAAAAUCAGAGAACACUAGCACAAAGAGAAGACCUUCAGGAAGACAUCUUCAAGCCGUAACUGGUAAUGCAGUUCUUCCCACUCAAAAGACCCUCGGCAUUUGCAUGUUUCUACACACAUG
Molecule: non-coding RNA, 706 nt
Organism: Manis javanica (Malayan pangolin)
Lineage: Eukaryota; Metazoa; Chordata; Mammalia; Pholidota; Manidae
Source: RefSeq, a predicted model, not a curated record